Triticum aestivum (bread wheat) is the source of this 1333-nucleotide RNA transcript. It is a transcript of the gene named glutenin, low molecular weight subunit 1D1-like, with no coding region annotated. NCBI's taxonomy places the organism in Eukaryota, Viridiplantae, Streptophyta, Magnoliopsida, Poales, Poaceae. The transcript has a single exon. The record is from RefSeq and is a predicted model, not a curated record.
UAAAGAUCAUCACAAGCACAAGCAUCAAAACCAAGCAACACUGGUUAACACCAAUCCACCAUGAAGACCUUCCUCAUCUUUGCUCUCCUCGCCAUUGUGGCGACAAGUGCCAUUGCACAAAUGGAGAAUAGCCACAUCCCUGGUUUGGAGAGACCAUCGCAGCAACAACCAUUACCACCACAACAAACAUUAUCGCACCACCAACAACAACAACCCAUCCAACAACAACCACAACCAUUUUCACAACAGCAACCAUGUUCACAGCAACAACAACAACAACCAUUAUCGCAGCAACAACAACCACCAUUUUCACAACAACAACCACCAUUUUCGCAGCAACAACAACAACCAUUAUCGCAGCAACAACAACCACCAUUUUCACAACAACAACCACCAUUUUCGCAGCAACAACAACCACCAUUUUCACAACAACAACCACCAUUUUCGCAGCAACAACAACCAGUUCUACCGCAACAACCAUCAUUUUCACAGCAACAACUACCACCAUUUUCACAGCAACAAUCACCGUUUUCGCAACAACAACAAAUAGUACUACAGCAACAACCACCAUUUUUGCAACAACAACAACCAAGUCUACCGCAACAACCACCAUUUUCGCAGCAACAACAACAACUAGUUCUACCGCAACAACAAAUACCAUUUGUUCAUCCAUCUAUCUUGCAGCAGCUAAACCCAUGCAAGGUAUUCCUCCAGCAGCAAUGCAGCCCUGUGGCAAUGCCACAAAGUCUUGCUAGGUCGCAAAUGUUGCAGCAGAGCAGUUGCCAUGUGAUGCAACAACAAUGUUGCCAGCAGUUGCCGCAAAUCCCCCAGCAAUCCCGCUAUGAGGCAAUCCGUGCUAUCAUCUACUCCAUCAUCCUGCAAGAACAACAACAGGUUCAGGGUUCCAUCCAAACUCCUCAGCAGCAACCCCAACAGUUGGGCCAAUGUGUUUCCCAACCCCAACAGCAGUCACAACAACAACUCGGGCAACAACCUCAACAACAACAAUUGGCACAAGGUACCUUUUUGCAGCCACACCAGAUAGCUCAGCUUGAGGUGAUGACUUCCAUUGCGCUCCGUACCCUGCCAACGAUGUGCCGUGUCAAUGUGCCGUUGUAUAGAACCACCACUAGUGUGCCAUUCGGUGUUGGCACCGGAGUUGGUUCCUACUAAUAAGGAAAGGUCUCUAGUAAUAUAUAGUUGGAUCACCGUUGUUUAGUCGAUGGAUAUGUCGAUGCAGCGGUGACAAAUAAAGUGUCACACAAUGUCGUGUGUGACCCGCCCAUACUAGUUGUUUAAAUUCUGAAAUAAAAUAAAAAUAAAGUUGUAUCAA